UACAGAGGGUGCGAGCGUUAAUCGGAAUUACUGGGCGUAAAGCGUGCGUAGACGGUUAUUUAAGUCGGGUGUGAAAGCCCCGGGCUCAACCUGGGAAUUGCAUUCGAGACUGAAUAGCUAGGGUACGGUAGAGGGAAGUGGAAUUUCCGGUGUAGCGGUGAAAUGCGUAGAUAUCGGAAGGAACAUCAGUGGCGAAAGCGACUUCCUGGACCAGUACCGACGUUCAGGCACGAAAGUGUGGGGAGCAAACAGG
Molecule: ribosomal RNA, 253 nt
Filed under: uncultured bacterium
Lineage: Bacteria
Description: partial 16S ribosomal RNA
Rfam family: Bacterial small subunit ribosomal RNA
Source: RNAcentral